RNAcentral lists this long non-coding RNA (1528 nucleotides) under Macaca fascicularis (crab-eating macaque). RNAcentral's name for it is "lncRNA (ENSMFAG00000056620.1)". Lineage: Eukaryota; Metazoa; Chordata; Mammalia; Primates; Cercopithecidae. The record is from RNAcentral.
CAAUGGCGUGAUCUCGGCUCACUGCAACUUUCGUCUCCUGGGUUCAAGCGAUUCUCCUGUUUCAGCCUCCCCAAGUGCUGGGAUUACAGGCGUCUGCCACCAUGCCCAGCUAAUUUUUGUAUUUUUAGUAGAGACGGGGUUUCACCAUGUCGGCCAGGCUGGUCUUGAACUCCUGACUUCAGGUGAUCUGCCUGCCUCAGCCUCCCAAAGUGCUGGGAUUACAGGCGUGAACCACAGCGCCCGGCCUCUUUUACCUCUGAGUGUGUCAGUACUCCAGUGUGUAUCUCCUAAAAGCAAGACUAUUUUGUUACAUAAGUGUAGUACACUUUUCAAAAUCAGGGAACUAACACUGAUAUAACCCUGUAAUCACUAGACCUCCUUCCUGUUUCACUGCCUGUCCCCAUAAUGUCCUUUAUGGCAAAAGAAAACGUCAGGUCACGCCUUGCGUUUAAGCGGAACGUCUCUUUAACUCUGUUCAUCUGAAACAGUCCUUGAGUCUUUGUAUUCUAUGACACUGGCAUUUUUGAAAAGUAUCUGCCAGAUAUUUUGUAAGAUGUCUAAAGUUUCCUUUUUAAAUAAAUUUAAGUUUUAAAUACGUAAGUCCACUUAAAAAACUAUCAAGCAACCCAAAGAACAAAUGGUCUACAGAUGAAGCACAAACUGUGAAGAGGUACGUGGAUUACAGUUUUGAGAAAUGUUGCCUUAAAUCAACUUCCUUCUGCCCCUGGGGCUUCACCCCACUGGGAUGGUCAGGCCUUGGGUCACUGAGUUAAGAACAGUCAAUAAAGUGGUGACACUAGGCUGUCCCAGCCUGUGUGCAGGGAGCUCACUCUCAGAGGCAGAGUCACGGUUCUUGGCCCUCUACCAGAUACUAGUGAGGGGCUGGGAGGAAAGCAUGCUUUGGGUGGGUGCACGGUACAUGCAAAUCUCAAACCUGUCUCAAAGAAAGAACAGGCAGGCCGGGUGCGGUGACUCAUGCCUGUAAUCCCAGCACCAUGGGAGGCUGAGGUGGGAGGAUCGCUUGUGCCCAGGAGUUUGAGACUAGCCUGGGCAACAUGGUGAGACCUUGUGUCAAAAGAAAGAAAAAGAGAGAGAGAGAAAAAAAAAGAGAGAGGAGGGGAAGGAAGGAAGGAGAAAGAAAGAGAGAGAAAGAGAAAGAAAGGAAGAAAAAAGAAAAAGAAAGAAAGGAAAGAAGAAAGAGAGAGAAAAAAGAAAAAGAGGGAGAGAAAGAAAGAUAAAGAAAGAGAGAGAAAGAAAGAAAGAAGGAAGGAAAGAAAGAAAGGAAGAGAAAGAAAGAAAGACAGCAGAAGGAAAGAAAAGAAUGGGAAUAAAGAAAGAAAGAACUAGCCAGGAGUGGUGGCGUGUGCCUGUAAUCCCAGGUACUUGGGAGGCUGGGGUAGGAGGAUUGAUUGAACUUGGGAGGUCAAGGCUGAGUGAGCUAUGAUCACAUCACUGCACUCCCCUCUGGGCAACAGAGCAAGACCCUGGCAAAGAAAGAAAGAAAGAGAGAGAGAGAGAGAGAGAGAGA